This 492-nucleotide ribosomal RNA is filed under the name uncultured bacterium. RNAcentral's name for it is "partial 16S ribosomal RNA". It matches the Rfam family "Bacterial small subunit ribosomal RNA", at positions 29 to 507 of the family's 1533-position model. The record is from RNAcentral.
AGUGAACGCUGGCGGUAGGCCUAACACAUGCAAGUCGAACGGCCGCACAGUAAGAGCUUGCUCUUACGGGUGGCGAGUGGCGGACGGGUGAGGAAUACAUCGGAAUCUACUUUUUCGUGGGGGAUAACGUAGGGAAACUUACGCUAAUACCGCAUACGACCUACGGGUGAAAGCAGGGGAUCUUCGGACCUUGCGCGUUUGAAUGAGCCGAUGUCGGAUUAGCUAGUUGGCGGGGUAAAGGCCCACCAAGGCGACGAUCCGUAGCUGGUCUGAGAGGAUGAUCGGCCACACUGGAACUGAGACACGGUCCAGACUCCUACGGGAGGCAGCAGUGGGGAAUAUUGGACAAUGGGCGCAAGCCUGAUCCAGCCAUGCCGCGUGGGUGAAGAAGGCCUUCGGAUUGUAAAGCCCUGUUGUUGGGAAAGAAAAGCAGCAGGAUAAUACCCCGCUGUUCUGACGGUACCCAAAGAAUAAGCACCGGCUAACUUCGUG